GUAGGGAAUAUUGGUCAAUGGAUGGAAGUCUGAACCAGCCAUGCCGCGUGCAGGAAGAAGGCCUUCUGGGUUGUAAACUGCUUUUGCCAGGGGCUAAAAAGCUCAUGCGUGAGAAAUUGAAAGUACCUGGUGAAUAAGCCACGGCUAACUACGUGCCAGCAGCCGCGGUAAUACGUAGGUGGCAAGCGUUGUCCGGAUUUAUUGGGUUUAAAGGGUGCGUAGGCGGCUUUGUAAGUCAGUGGUGAAAUAUGGCAGCUUAACUGUCAGGGUGCCAUUGAUACUGCGGAGCUUGAGUACAGAUGAGGUAGGCGGAAUUGACGGUGUAGCGGUGAAAUGCUUAGAUAUCGUCAAGAACACCGAUAGCGAAGGCAGCUUACUGGGCUGUAACUGACGCUGAGGCACGAAAGUGUGGGGAUCAAACAGGAUUAGAAACCCUGGUAGUCC
Molecule: ribosomal RNA, 444 nt
Filed under: uncultured bacterium
Lineage: Bacteria
Description: bacterial SSU rRNA
Rfam family: Bacterial small subunit ribosomal RNA
Source: RNAcentral